CAGCCGCCGCGGUAAUACCGGCGGCCCGAGUGGCGGUCACUAUUAUUGGGCUUAAAGCGUCCGUAGCCGGGUUGGGAAGUCCUCCGGGAAAUCUGGCCGCUUAACGGUCAGAAUUCCGGGAGAUACUGCCAGCCUAGGGACCGGGAGAGGCCGAGGGGAUUCCCGGAGUAGGGGGGAAAUCCUAUAAUCCCGGGAGGACCACCUGUGGCGAAGGCGCUCGGCUGGAACGCGUCCGACGGUGAGGGACGAAGGCCAGGGGAGCAAACCGGAUUAGAUACCCGGGUAGUCCUGGCGGUAAACGAUGCGGACUUUGUGUCGGACAAGCUAUGAGCUUGUCCGGUGCCGGAGGGAAACCGUUAAGUCCGCCGCCUGGGGAGUACGGCCGCAAGGCUGAAACUUAAAGGAAUUGGCGGG
This 414-nucleotide ribosomal RNA is filed under the name uncultured microorganism. Its description in RNAcentral is "bacterial SSU rRNA". It matches the Rfam family "Archaeal small subunit ribosomal RNA", at positions 459 to 872 of the family's 1478-position model. The record is from RNAcentral.